CAACCCAAUUUUUUGUUUAAGCAUGGAAAUGGGGCAUUCCUAUUCCAUUUCCUUUUCACUAAAUAGCCACAAAAUACAGGUCUCCUUUCCAUUUUACCCUCUCAUUUUCUCACGAAAAAAAAGUUCUCAUUCAGUCCAAUCUCAAUCCUGACCUCCCUUGCUUCCUUCGUCUCCGGCCAGUAGCAGUCAUCCCUCAGGUUUAUAGGGGUGUUAAGGUCAUCUUCUCAGCUGUGUAACUUUUCUUCUAAAGGAAACCAUUCAAAGGCGUAGGAACUCAAAGUUGGUUAUUGUGUUACAACAUGAGGAGUUUAAUGUCGCAACAUAGGGAGUAGAAUGUUAAAAUUGCUAUAUCUGUAACACUCCUAACCCGUAUCCGUCGUCGAAACAGGGUUACAGAGUGUUACAAGUUAGCGGUACAUACAGAACAUUUACAGAUUAAUCAAAACAUUACUAUUCACUUUCUGAGAUCAUAUAUGUAUAUAACGACCUUUAUUUGGGCCCUCGAACCCCAACAUCAUCAUUAAAAUCAAGUCGGAACUUAACUGAUUUCUCAUAAAA
Gossypium arboreum is the source of this 558-nucleotide long non-coding RNA. RefSeq lists it as uncharacterized. The record is from RefSeq and is a predicted model, not a curated record. Lineage: Eukaryota; Viridiplantae; Streptophyta; Magnoliopsida; Malvales; Malvaceae. The transcript is spliced from 3 exons.